Molecule: ribosomal RNA, 466 nt
Filed under: uncultured bacterium
Lineage: Bacteria
Description: partial 16S ribosomal RNA
Rfam family: Bacterial small subunit ribosomal RNA
Source: RNAcentral
GAUGAACGCUGGCGGCGUGCUUAACACAUGCAAGUCGAACGAUGAAGCCCAGCUUGCUGGGUGGAUUAGUGGCGAACGGGUGAGUAACACGUGAGUAACCUGCCCUUGACUCUGGGAUAAGCCUGGGAAACUGGGUCUAAUACUGGAUAUGACUUCUCAUCGCAUGGUGGGGGGUGGAAAGAUUUAUUGGUCUUGGAUGGACUCGCGGCCUAUCAGCUUGUUGGUGAGGUAAUGGCUCACCAAGGCGACGACGGGUAGCCGGCCUGAGAGGGUGACCGGCCACACUGGGACUGAGACACGGCCCAGACUCCUACGGGAGGCAGCAGCGGGGAAUAUUGCACAAUGGGCGCAAGCCUGAUGCAGCGACGCAGCGUGAGGGAUGACGGCCUUCGGGUUGUAAACCUCUUUCAGUAGGGAAGAAGCGAGAGUGACGGUACCUGCAGAAGAAGCGCCGGCUAACUACGUG